Molecule: ribosomal RNA, 429 nt
Filed under: uncultured soil bacterium
Lineage: Bacteria
Description: bacterial SSU rRNA
Rfam family: Bacterial small subunit ribosomal RNA (bases 1-359)
Source: RNAcentral
GUCGUCAGCUCGUGUCGUGAGAUGUUGGGUUAAGUCCCGCAACGAGCGCAACCCUUGUCAUUAGUUGCUACGAAAGGGCACUCUAAUGAGACUGCCGGUGACAAACCGGAGGAAGGUGGGGAUGACGUCAAGUCCUCAUGGCCCUUAUAGGUGGGGCUACACACGUCAUACAAUGGCCGGUACAAGGGGUCGCAAACCCGCGAGGGGGAGCUAAUCCAUCAAAGCCGGUCGUAGUCCGGAUCGCAGUCUGCAACUCGACUGCGUGAAGUCGGAAUCGCUAGUAAUCGUGGAUCAGCAUGUCACGGUGAAUACGUUCCCGGGUCUUGUACACACCAACGCGAAGAACCUUACCCACCUUUGACAUGUACGGAAUUUGCCAGAGAUGGCUUAGUGCUCGAAAGAGAGCCGUAACACAGGUGCUGCAUGGCU